GGAGGGGUGCGAGCGUUAAUCGGAAUUACUGGGCGUAAAGAGCACGUAGGUGGGGGGUGCUUGAGUCGGGAUGUGAAAGCCCUGGGCUUAACCCAGGAAUUGCAUUCGAUACUGGGCACCCUAGAGUAUAGUAGAGGGAAGUGGAAUUUCCGGUGUAGCGGUGAAAUGCGUAGAUAUCGGAAGGAACAUCAGUGGCGAAGGCGACUUCCUGGACUAAUACUGACACUGAGGUGCGAAAGCGUGGGGAGCAAACAGGAUUAGAGACCCUGGUAGUCCACGCCGUCAACGAUGAGAACUAGACGUUGGAAGGUUUACCUUUUAGUGUCGCAGCAAACGCGAUAAGUUCUCCGCCUGGGGAGUACGGCCGCAAGGCUA
Molecule: ribosomal RNA, 375 nt
Filed under: uncultured organism
Description: partial 16S ribosomal RNA
Rfam family: Bacterial small subunit ribosomal RNA
Source: RNAcentral